UUAAGCGACUAAGCGUACACGGUGGAUGCCCUGGCAGUCAGAGGCGAUGAAGGACGUGCUAAUCUGCGAUAAGCGUCGGUAAGGUGAUAUGAACCGUUAUAACCGGCGAUUUCCGAAUGGGGAAACCCAGUGUGUUUCGACACACUAUCAUUAACUGAAUCCAUAGGUUAAUGAGGCGAACCGGGGGAACUGAAACAUCUAAGUACCCCGAGGAAAAGAAAUCAACCGAGAUUCCCCCAGUAGCGGCGAGCGAACGGGGAGCAGCCCAGAGCCUGAAUCAGUGUGUGUGUUAGUGGAAGCGUCUGGAAAGGCGCGCGAUACAGGGUGACAGCCCCGUACACAAAAAUGCACAUGCUGUGAGCUCGAUGAGUAGGGCGGGACACGUGGUAUCCUGUCUGAAUAUGGGGGGACCAUCCUCCAAGGCUAAAUACUCCUGACUGACCGAUAGUGAACCAGUACCGUGAGGGAAAGGCGAAAAGAACCCCGGCGAGGGGAGUGAAAAAGAACCUGAAACCGUGUACGUACAAGCAGUGGGAGCACGCUUAGGCGUGUGACUGCGUACCUUUUGUAUAAUGGGUCAGCGACUUAUAUUCUGUAGCAAGGUUAACCGAAUAGGGGAGCCGAAGGGAAACCGAGUCUUAACUGGGCGUUAAGUUGCAGGGUAUAGACCCGAAACCCGGUGAUCUAGCCAUGGGCAGGUUGAAGGUUGGGUAACACUAACUGGAGGACCGAACCGACUAAUGUUGAAAAAUUAGCGGAUGACUUGUGGCUGGGGGUGAAAGGCCAAUCAAACCGGGAGAUAGCUGGUUCUCCCCGAAAGCUAUUUAGGUAGCGCCUCGUGAAUUCAUCUCCGGGGGUAGAGCACUGUUUCGGCAAGGGGGUCAUCCCGACUUACCAACCCGAUGCAAACUGCGAAUACCGGAGAAUGUUAUCACGGGAGACACACGGCGGGUGCUAACGUCCGUCGUGAAGAGGGAAACAACCCAGACCGCCAGCUAAGGUCCCAAAGUCAUGGUUAAGUGGGAAACGAUGUGGGAAGGCCCAGACAGCCAGGAUGUUGGCUUAGAAGCAGCCAUCAUUUAAAGAAAGCGUAAUAGCUCACUGGUCGAGUCGGCCUGCGCGGAAGAUGUAACGGGGCUAAACCAUGCACCGAAGCUGCGGCAGCGACACUAUGUGUUGUUGGGUAGGGGAGCGUUCUGUAAGCCUGUGAAGGUGUACUGUGAGGUAUGCUGGAGGUAUCAGAAGUGCGAAUGCUGACAUAAGUAACGAUAAAGCGGGUGAAAAGCCCGCUCGCCGGAAGACCAAGGGUUCCUGUCCAACGUUAAUCGGGGCAGGGUGAGUCGACCCCUAAGGCGAGGCCGAAAGGCGUAGUCGAUGGGAAACAGGUUAAUAUUCCUGUACUUGGUGUUACUGCGAAGGGGGGACGGAGAAGGCUAUGUUGGCCGGGCGACGGUUGUCCCGGUUUAAGCGUGUAGGCUGGUUUUCCAGGCAAAUCCGGAAAAUCAAGGCUGAGGCGUGAUGACGAGGCACUACGGUGCUGAAGCAACAAAUGCCCUGCUUCCAGGAAAAGCCUCUAAGCAUCAGGUAACAUCAAAUCGUACCCCAAACCGACACAGGUGGUCAGGUAGAGAAUACCAAGGCGCUUGAGAGAACUCGGGUGAAGGAACUAGGCAAAAUGGUGCCGUAACUUCGGGAGAAGGCACGCUGAUAUGUAGGUGAAGUCCCUCGCGGAUGGAGCUGAAAUCAGUCGAAGAUACCAGCUGGCUGCAACUGUUUAUUAAAAACACAGCACUGUGCAAACACGAAAGUGGACGUAUACGGUGUGACGCCUGCCCGGUGCCGGAAGGUUAAUUGAUGGGGUUAGCCGCAAGGCCGAAGCUCUUGAUCGAAGCCCCGGUAAACGGCGGCCGUAACUAUAACGGUCCUAAGGUAGCGAAAUUCCUUGUCGGGUAAGUUCCGACCUGCACGAAUGGCGUAAUGAUGGCCAGGCUGUCUCCACCCGAGACUCAGUGAAAUUGAACUCGCUGUGAAGAUGCAGUGUACCCGCGGCAAGACGGAAAGACCCCGUGAACCUUUACUAUAGCUUGACACUGAACAUUGAGCCUUGAUGUGUAGGAUAGGUGGGAGGCUUUGAAGUGUGGACGCCAGUCUGCAUGGAGCCGACCUUGAAAUACCACCCUUUAAUGUUUGAUGUUCUAACGUGGACCCGUGAUCCGGGUUGCGGACAGUGUCUGGUGGGUAGUUUGACUGGGGCGGUCUCCUCCUAAAGAGUAACGGAGGAGCACGAAGGUUGGCUAAUCCUGGUCGGACAUCAGGAGGUUAGUGCAAUGGCAUAAGCCAGCUUGACUGCGAGCGUGACGGCGCGAGCAGGUGCGAAAGCAGGUCAUAGUGAUCCGGUGGUUCUGAAUGGAAGGGCCAUCGCUCAACGGAUAAAAGGUACUCCGGGGAUAACAGGCUGAUACCGCCCAAGAGUUCAUAUCGACGGCGGUGUUUGGCACCUCGAUGUCGGCUCAUCACAUCCUGGGGCUGAAGUAGGUCCCAAGGGUAUGGCUGUUCGCCAUUUAAAGUGGUACGCGAGCUGGGUUUAGAACGUCGUGAGACAGUUCGGUCCCUAUCUGCCGUGGGCGCUGGAGAACUGAGGGGGGCUGCUCCUAGUACGAGAGGACCGGAGUGGACGCAUCACUGGUGUUCGGGUUGUCAUGCCAAUGGCACUGCCCGGUAGCUAAAUGCGGAAGAGAUAAGUGCUGAAAGCAUCUAAGCACGAAACUUGCCCCGAGAUGAGUUCUCCCUGACCCUUUAAGGGUCCUGAAGGAACGUUGAAGACGACGACGUUGAUAGGCCGGGUGUGUAAGCGCAGCGAUGCGUUGAGCUAACCGGUACUAAUGAACCGUGAGGCUUAACCUU
Molecule: ribosomal RNA, 2904 nt
Filed under: Escherichia coli
Lineage: Bacteria; Pseudomonadati; Pseudomonadota; Gammaproteobacteria; Enterobacterales; Enterobacteriaceae
Description: bacterial LSU rRNA
Rfam family: Bacterial large subunit ribosomal RNA
Source: RNAcentral